GGGGUUGUCACUCCAUGGUAGAGCAUCUGCUUGGCGUGCAGAAGGUCCCAGCUUCAAUCCGUGGCAUUUCUA
This 72-nucleotide transfer RNA is filed under the name Sphaerodactylus townsendi. RNAcentral's name for it is "tRNA-Ala". The record is from RNAcentral. Lineage: Eukaryota; Metazoa; Chordata; Lepidosauria; Squamata; Sphaerodactylidae.